This 253-nucleotide ribosomal RNA is filed under the name uncultured bacterium. RNAcentral describes it as "partial 16S ribosomal RNA". It matches the Rfam family "Bacterial small subunit ribosomal RNA", at positions 524 to 776 of the family's 1533-position model. The record is from RNAcentral.
UACGGAGGGUGCAAACGUUGCUCGGAAUCAUUGGGCGUAAAGCGCACGUAGGCGGUCCGGUAAGUCGGAUGUGAAAGCCCUCGGCUCAACCGAGGAAGUGCAUUCGAAACUGCCGGGCUCGAGUACGGGAGAGGGAUGCGGAAUUCCCGGUGUAGAAGUGAAAUUCGUAGAUAUCGGGAGGAACACCAGUGGCGAAGGCGGCAUCCUGGACCGAUACUGACGCUGAGGUGCGACAGCGUGGGGAGCAAACAGG